This 532-nucleotide ribosomal RNA is filed under the name Acrobeloides sp. Sourhope farm. RNAcentral's name for it is "SSU rRNA". It matches the Rfam family "Eukaryotic small subunit ribosomal RNA", at positions 83 to 613 of the family's 1831-position model. Lineage: Eukaryota; Metazoa; Nematoda; Chromadorea; Rhabditida; Cephalobidae. The record is from RNAcentral.
GCAACCGGAAUGGCUCAUUAUAACAGCUAUAAUUUACUUGAUCUUGACACAAUCCUACUUGGAUAACUGUGGUAAUUCUAGAGCUAAUACAUGCAUUAAAGCUCUGACCUCACGGGAAGAGUGCAUUUAUUAGAACAAAACCAAGCGGCUUCGGCUGUUUCUGGUUGACUCAUAGUAACUGAGCUGAUCGCAUGGUCUUGCACCGGCGACGUGUCUUUCAAGUAUCUGCCGUAUCAACUUUCGAUGGUAGUGUAUCUGACUACCAUGGUGAUCACGCGUAACGGAGAAUAAGGGUUCGGCUCCGGAGAGUUCGCCUGAGAAAUCGCGAACACAUCUAAGGAAGGCAGCAGGCGCGAAAAUUACCCACUCUCAGCACGAGGAGGUAGUGACGAAAAAUAACGAGACCGUUCUCUUAUGAGGCCGGUCAUCGGAAUGGGUACAAUUUAAACCCUUUAACGAGUAUCUAUGAGAGGGCAAGUCUGGUGCCAGCAGCCGCGGUAAUUCCAGCUCUCAAAGUGCAUAGAAUUAUUGC